UUAAAUGGCCGCGGUAUUUUGACCGUGCUAAGGUAGCAUAAUCAUUAGUUUUUUAAUUGAAAGCUAGAAUGAAGGGUUUGAUGAGAAAUUGACUGUCUCUAUUUUAUAUUUUAAAAUUUUAUUUUUAAGUUAAAAAGCUUAAAUUUUAUUAAAAGACGAGAAGACCCUAUAGAGUUUUAUAAAAUAGGAUAUUUUUAAUUUAGAUUUUUAUUAAGAAUAGUAUUAUGUAUUUAAUUGGGGUGAUUAAAAAAUUUAUGUAACUUUUUUUUUAUUUUAAUAUUAAUGAGUAGUUUAUUGAUCCAAUAAUAUUGAUUAUAAGAUUAAAUUACCUUAGGGAUAACAGCGUAAUUUUAUUGGAGAGUU
This 363-nucleotide ribosomal RNA is filed under the name Sphenoraia sp. BMNH 846595. RNAcentral describes it as "partial 16S ribosomal RNA". The record is from RNAcentral. Lineage: Eukaryota; Metazoa; Arthropoda; Insecta; Coleoptera; Chrysomelidae.